UUCGGAUAGCUCAGCUGGUAGAGCAGAGGACUGAAAUCCCGU
RNAcentral lists this transfer RNA (42 nucleotides) under Antiaris toxicaria subsp. madagascariensis. Its description in RNAcentral is "partial tRNA-Phe". The record is from RNAcentral. Lineage: Eukaryota; Viridiplantae; Streptophyta; Magnoliopsida; Rosales; Moraceae.